This is a long non-coding RNA of Triticum aestivum (bread wheat), 2283 nucleotides long. RefSeq lists it as uncharacterized. Lineage: Eukaryota; Viridiplantae; Streptophyta; Magnoliopsida; Poales; Poaceae. The transcript is spliced from 4 exons. The record is from RefSeq and is a predicted model, not a curated record.
UCUCUUAUUCUGCUAACACCCAACCCACUACUCAAAACACACCCAAUCCCCUUCGUCUUCCUCCCGCACAGAACACCGCAACCCCAAUCCUCCUCCUGCCUCCUUCCUCCCCGUGUCGCCGGAUCCCCACCCAAUCACACACCGCCGGAGCCCUACACCUCCACGCGCCGCCAGAGCCACGCCCGUCCCGCCGCUGCCGCCCAUCCCAUGUACCAACGGAUCCGGUGGCAGCCCCACCACCAGCCACACAACCUCCACCGGAACAGUGGGGCAGUACCACGACCGUGGUCCUAGACAUUCACCGGGAUCUGGAGGCUAGUGCGGCCAUGGCCUGGAGCUCACCUCUUCUCUCGCACGGGGACGUUGGCUACCGCUGAGCGCAGCUACCAACGGAUACCGCCGGAUCCCAACCGCCAGCCACGCCACCUCCUAUUGCAGUCCUCCCUCCCCGUUGCAGUCCAAGCGUCCCGGGCUUGCAGUGCGCCGGGGCACACGAUGUGGUGUGGCGCGCGUGGCUGUGCAGUUGCAUCACCCCCGCCCCCUAACAACCAUGAACAACAACGAGGCUAGCAGUGGACACAGCCGAGCAUCCCUCUCCUCUGCUCCCUUCCACAACCUACAUCCAUGAAGGUGCCUGUGAGUCUGUGAUGAUGAGUUCAUUCUCUGGUGGCAAGGUGAUGCAUUUUUCAAGAUGGUGUGUUGUUCCAUCAGUGUGGCAGUGCAGUACACGGGCGUGGGUUUGCAAUGUGGUGCCCGUCAGCGUGUAGCCCACGAUGAUGGCCAUAUCACGCUGGUGCUUUUUUAAUUGUGCGUUUAUAUUGUUCUCCCAUGGCCAUCAUCCCAUAUUUGUGUGCCUAAUGGUCCAUGGCCAACUCCACCACAGGCCAUCCUUUGCUGUAGUCCCCCGCCCACCCACUGCCCCCUACACACCAUCUCUGUACCUAAUGGCAUGUAGUUCGAUGAUGUUUGACCGCGCAGAGGAUUUCAGCAGGGGUAUGUGCGAUAACAACGAAAAUGUGGGGGGUGGCUGCAUUGCUCAGGGCAGCUGGCCACGCUGUUCCUCUAUGCCGUGUCGCGUGCGUGUUGUGGAGGUUCACUUGAUGCAUUGUUGUAUGUUCACUUGCGGCCAUGCAUUGAUUUUUAUUUUGUCCGUUUGUAGUUCUGCGGUUGAGGGUGUGCAUCUCAUCCCUGGGGUUGUUGCAGUCCGGCGAGUGAGGCGUUGUGGUCCAGCAGGUGAGGUGCACGAGGAUAGUGACGAUGGCUGAACCUCCCUAAGAAAAGAACAUGGUUGAGGACCGACUAGCUAUCGAGGAGGCAGCUGAUACUGAAGAUGCUACCUCCAUAACAGUGUUAUCCCCUCUAAUUCUACGGACGAGCUGAACAGAACUGCGGUCAUCCCAAGCCCGCUGCCGAGGAGGCCGAUGAGUGCGCCCACAGCAUCACCGCCUACCUCAACCUCGUGUCGGGCGACUGCUAUGGGGACAACACCGUCGCCUCCUCCAUCGUGCAGGGAGAAAACUAAUGAUUUUCUCAGGAAGGAAUCACAAGAUUUGUGGUGGGCCUUAGACAGCCCUUGAAGAACUUUAGAGGGAAAGAAGUUCAAUCAUUGUGAAGUGAAGGCAUUCUGGUUGAUGUUGUGGCGAAGAUCUCUAGUGCAAAAUUCUCAAGGCGAGAAGAGGAUGAGGAUCUCCAUCCCUGCCCCCAUGCAGUUCACUCGACGCACCCGUGUGGUGCGAAGUGCAUCUACAUGCAAUCCACUAGCCGGUGGUGUGGAGCAUAUGUGUGCAGUAAGGUUCGGACGUUGGUGUAGUUCACUGCUGGGUGGUGCUUCAGUGUAGUUUGCCUGCGCUUGUAGUGCAUGCGAGGAGGACGAUAGUCCAUGGCGUGGACAUGUAGUUCACUUGUGGUUCCAUGCGCUCGGAUGCGCGACUAUUGUUGCUCGGAUGCACACCUGCGUUAUUCGGAUGCGCAUCGAGAUGCAGUUCCAGGAGAAGCUCGACCAUGUGUUGUUCGGCUAGUCGGUGUGUGUGCAGAUUGUUUCUUUUGUUUGAUGGCGUGCAGUUGGUGCAUGUGCUUAGAUGUGCGGGGCAGCAUGUUCAAAAACCUUGGGUGUAUUUUGGUGCAGUUCCCUAGUCUCCCAUCUACAGUACCAUGAUGUCUAGAAUAAAAUUGUUUGAAGAAGGCAAAAAAGUAGUUUAUCCAAUUUUUGUAGAAGCUCAUUACCCCUCUGUAUGAAGUGCAAUUUGUAUCUUGUGUUUUAAAAUUCAGUCGACUAAACCAACA